This 32-nucleotide non-coding RNA is filed under the name Mus musculus (house mouse). Lineage: Eukaryota; Metazoa; Chordata; Mammalia; Rodentia; Muridae. The record is from RNAcentral.
UAGAAGGUGUUCCAAUGUAUCUUCUUUUGCCU